Molecule: ribosomal RNA, 373 nt
Filed under: uncultured organism
Description: partial 16S ribosomal RNA
Rfam family: Bacterial small subunit ribosomal RNA
Source: RNAcentral
GUAGGUGGCAAGCGUUGUCCGGAAUUAUUGGGCGUAAAGCGCGCGCAGGCGGUUCUUUAAGUCUGAUGUGAAAGCCCACGGCUCAACCGUGGAGGGUCAUUGGAAACUGGAGAACUUGAGUACAGAAGAGGAAAGCGGAAUUCCACGUGUAGCGGUGAAAUGCGUAGAGAUGUGGAGGAACACCAGUGGCGAAGGCGGCUUUCUGGUCUGUAACUGACGCUGAGGCGCGAAAGCGUGGGAGCAAACAGGGAUUAGAUACCCUGGUAGUCCACGCCGUAAACGAUGAGUGCUAAGUGUUAGGGGGGUUUCCGCCCCCUUAGUGCUGCAGCUAACGCAUUAAGCACUCCGCCUGGGGAGUACGGCCGCAAGGCUG